Molecule: ribosomal RNA, 450 nt
Filed under: uncultured bacterium
Lineage: Bacteria
Description: bacterial SSU rRNA
Rfam family: Bacterial small subunit ribosomal RNA
Source: RNAcentral
GUGGGGAAUUUUGGACAAUGGGGGCAACCCUGAUCCAGCAAUGCCGCGUGAGUGAAGAAGGCCUUCGGGUUGUAAAGCUCUUUUGUCAGGGAAGAAAAGGGUCUGGCUAAUAUCUAGGCCUCAUGACGGUACCUGAAGAAUAAGCACCGGCUAACUACGUGCCAGCAGCCGCGGUAAUACGUAGGGUGCAAGCGUUAAUCGGAAUUACUGGGCGUAAAGCGUGCGCAGGCGGUUUUGUAAGACUGUCGUGAAAUCCCCGGGCUCAACCUGGGAAUGGCGAUGGUGACUGCAAGGCUAGAGUUUGGCAGAGGGGGGUAGAAUUCCACGUGUAGCAGUGAAAUGCGUAGAUAUGUGGAGGAACACCGAUGGCGAAGGCAGCCCCCUGGGUCAAAACUGACGCUCAUGCACGAAAGCGUGGGGAGCAAACAGGAUUAGAUACCCCGGUAGUCC